Molecule: long non-coding RNA, 741 nt
Filed under: Struthio camelus australis
Lineage: Eukaryota; Metazoa; Chordata; Aves; Struthioniformes; Struthionidae
Description: lncRNA (ENSSCUG00000016002.1)
Source: RNAcentral
UCAUUACUGGGAUAAAGCAGUCUACUGAGAAAAAGUCAUAUUUUUACUGCAGGAUAGAUCUCUUCCUUAUCACCAUUUCUGGUGGUAUUGUAAAACUCCUUGAAUAAGAAUGUAGACAUCUGCAUUCUGGACAAAGUAUGCUUAAAAAGGGUAUGAUGGGAUACAUGGAACUAUAAGAAGAUAUUCUGCUCUGGUUUGAACAUACUGAACACCUGGGCAGUUGGGGAACCUACCUGUAUGAUAUGUGCAAUACUAAUUAGUAUUCAUGUAGUUGUUGGAGUGAAAAUUGCUUAAUCUUGAAAAUUGCCUCCUUUUGCUGUGAGGAUCCAUGUUUAAAUAGCACAGAGCAGAUAUGGCCACUUGCCACCGGAGAACUAGUCAGACAGCCUGCUGGAGCAGCCCCUGCACCUGAAGAGUGUCGCUGAGAAGGGGAUGGUGCCCAUUUCCAGCUGGAGGAAGGUGGCCAGUGGCAGCUUGUGCAGCAGUGUCAGGAUAAUAUGAAUUACCUGCUGGCAGUCUUACUGUUGUUCACAGAAGUAAUCUAAAUGACCAGACUGGGACAUCUGUUUCCUCUUCAUGGGUUGUGAUAGCCCAAAACUUGGAAUAAAAAGAAUGUCUUCCAAUGAAAAUAUGUCCAAGAGCACUGUGGCCACAUUUAUCAGAUUGGAAUUUCCUAACCUGCAGAUGACUGAGUAACAAAGAAUUAAUAAAACUCCUGUACGUUGGGGAGAAUGGGAUUGG